This 497-nucleotide ribosomal RNA is filed under the name uncultured bacterium. RNAcentral describes it as "partial 16S ribosomal RNA". It matches the Rfam family "Bacterial small subunit ribosomal RNA", at positions 28 to 507 of the family's 1533-position model. The record is from RNAcentral.
GAUGAACGCUGGCGGCGUGCCUAAUACAUGCAAGUCGAGCGAACAGAUGAGGAGCUUGCUCCUCUGACGUUAGCGGCGGACGGGUGAGUAACACGUGGAUAACCUACCUAUAAGACUGGGAUAACUUCGGGAAACCGGAGCUAAUACCGGAUAAUAUAUUGAACCGCAUGGUUCAAUAGUGAAAGACGGUUUUGCUGUCACUUAUAGAUGGAUCCGCGCCGCAUUAGCUGGUUGGUAAGGUAACGGCUUACCAAGGCAACGAUGCGUAGCCGACCUGAGAGGCUGGUCGGCCACACUAGAACUGAGACACGGUCCAGACUCCUACGGGAGGCAGCAGUAGGGAAUCUUCCGCAGUGGGCGAAAGCCUGACGGAGCAACGCCGCGUGAGUGAUGAAGGUCUUCGGAUCGUAAAGCUCUGUUAUUAGGGAAGAACAAAUGUGUAAGUAACUAUGCACGUCUUGACGGUACCUAAUCAGAAAGCCACGGCUAACUACGUG